UCNUGGCUCAGGACGAACGCUGGCGGCGUGCCUAAUACAUGCAAGUCGAGCGAAUGAUAGGGAGCUUGCUCCCUUGAUUUAGCGGCGGACGGGUGAGUAACACGUGGGCAACCUACCUGUAAGACUGGGAUAACUUCGGGAAACCGGAGCUAAUACCGGAUAAUUUCUUUUCUCGCAUGAGAAGAGAUGGAAAGACGGUUUCGGCUGUCACUUACAGAUGGGCCCGCGGCGCAUUAGCUAGUUGGUGAGGUAAUGGCUCACCAAGGCCACGAUGCGUAGCCGACCUGAGAGGGUGAUCGGCCACACUGGGACUGAGACACGGCCCAGACUCCUACGGGAGGCAGCAGUAGGGAAUCUUCCGCAAUGGACGAAAGUCUGACGGAGCAACGCCGCGUGAACGAAGAAGGCCUUCGGGUCGUAAAGUUCUGUUGUUAGGGAAGAACAAGUACCAGAGUAACUGCUGGUACCUUGACGGUACCUAACCAGAAAGCCACGGCUAACUACGUGCCAGCAGCCGCGGUAAUACGUAGGUGGCAAGCGUUGUCCGGAAUUAUUGGGCGUAAAGCGCGCGCAGGUGGUUCCUUAAGUCUGAUGUGAAAGCCCACGGCUCAACCGUGGAGGGUCAUUGGAAACUGGGGAACUUGAGUGCAGAAGAGGANAGUGGAAUUCCAAGUGUAGCGGUGAAAUGCGUAGAGAUUUGGAGGAACACCAGUGGCGAAGGCGACUUUCUGGUCUGUAACGACACNA
RNAcentral lists this ribosomal RNA (747 nucleotides) under Peribacillus muralis. RNAcentral describes it as "bacterial SSU rRNA". It matches the Rfam family "Bacterial small subunit ribosomal RNA", at positions 17 to 748 of the family's 1533-position model. The record is from RNAcentral. Lineage: Bacteria; Bacillati; Bacillota; Bacilli; Caryophanales; Bacillaceae.